Molecule: ribosomal RNA, 497 nt
Filed under: uncultured bacterium
Lineage: Bacteria
Description: partial 16S ribosomal RNA
Rfam family: Bacterial small subunit ribosomal RNA
Source: RNAcentral
GAUGAACGCUGGCGGCGUGCCUAAUACAUGCAAGUCGAGCGAACAGACGAGGAGCUUGCUCCUCUGGCGUUAGCGGCGGACGGGUGAGUAACACGUGGAUAACCUACCUAUAAGACUGGGAUAACUUCGGGAAACCGGAGCUAAUACCGGAUAAUAUAUUGAACCGCAUGGAUCAAUAGUGAAAGACGGUUUUGCUGUCUCUUAUAGAUGGAUCCGCGCCGCAUUAGCUAGUUGGUAAGGUAACGGCUUACCAAGGCAACGAUGCGUAGCCGACCUGAGAGGGUGAUCGGCCACACUGGAACUGAGACACGGUCCAGACUCCUACGGGAGGCAGCAGUAGGGAAUCUUCCGCAAUGGGCGAAAGCCUGACGGAGCAACGCCGCGUGAGUGAUGAAGGUCUUCGGAUCGUAAAACUCUGUUAUUAGGGAAGAACAAAUGUGUAAGUAACUAUGCACGUCUUGACGGUACCUAAUCAGAAAGCCACGGCUAACUACGUG